This is a long non-coding RNA of Phyllostomus discolor (pale spear-nosed bat), 1003 nucleotides long. RefSeq lists it as uncharacterized. Lineage: Eukaryota; Metazoa; Chordata; Mammalia; Chiroptera; Phyllostomidae. The record is from RefSeq and is a predicted model, not a curated record. The transcript is spliced from 2 exons.
GUUAUGGGGGCAGCAGUGGCCUCCUGCUGAUUGGGCUGUCAGUGUCAGUGUGUUGCUUGGACUUCCGGUAGCUGGGUUACCUGGAGUUUUUCUACCAGGUUGAAUCAGAGCCAGGUGCUCCAACUGUCCUUGAUUCUGAUCCUUCAAUAAUCUUACAGUAAAUUCCCUUCUGCUUAAUUCAGACAGAGUCUUUUCUGUUGCUUCUAGCCAAUGUCUGACUCAGCCUCUCCUCUGUACUGCCUCCCACUGCAGUGACAUGGAGGGAACUGAGUGAACCUGGAUUGCACUCAAGUUAGCAGAGCUAAGAACUGGAGUCUUGAGUUCCUGUCUUCUAGGCAAGGGCUCUCACUCCACAUGCACAGCUUCUACCUCUGAUCCAGCACAAAGCCCUGCUGAAAAAGGGGGAAGCCAGCUGCCACAUUGUGAGGACACUCAAGCAGCCCUAUGGAGAGGUCCACGUGGUGAGGAACUGAGGCCUCCUGCUAACAACGGGCAUUGACUUACCAGAUAUGGGAGUGAGCUGUCUUGGAAGUGAGCUCUCCAGUCCCAGUCGAGCUUUCAGAUGACCGUCGCCCCAGCCGACAUCGUGACUGCAGCCUCAUGAGAGCAUCUGAGCCACAACCACCAAGCUGAGGCACUCCUCUAAAUUCCAGACUUUUAGAAACUGUAUGAUAAUAAAUAUUUAUUGUUUUAAGCUACUCAGUUUAAUCUGUUAUGCAGCGAUAGAUAACUAUUAUACUUACAUGAGGAGGGACUGAAAAAACCCAGACUUAUUUAUAAAAAAGUUAUGUAUUUAUUCUUACAUGUUUAAACUUCAGUCAUCUUCAAAGUACUCUCCAUUUGAUCCAACACACCUAUCGAGGCAUUUUUAAUCGAGGCAUUUUUUCCACUGCUCAAAACAGUUUUUAAACUUGUUGAUUUUGAUGUCUUUUAGUGCUUCUGCCAUUUUUUGUUUCACCUCUUCCAUAUCAACCAAAUGUUUCCCAUUGAGGACCUUUUUCAU